UCCCGCGUGGUCUAGCGUUGAGGAUUCCCGGCUUUCACCCAGGCGGCCCGGGUUUGACUCCCGGCGCGGGAG
Molecule: transfer RNA, 72 nt
Organism: Clonorchis sinensis
Lineage: Eukaryota; Metazoa; Platyhelminthes; Trematoda; Opisthorchiida; Opisthorchiidae
Rfam family: tRNA
About the family: Transfer RNA (tRNA) molecules are approximately 80 nucleotides in length.
Source: Rfam